Molecule: ribosomal RNA, 468 nt
Filed under: uncultured bacterium
Lineage: Bacteria
Description: partial 16S ribosomal RNA
Rfam family: Bacterial small subunit ribosomal RNA
Source: RNAcentral
GACGAACGCUGGCGGCGUGCUUAACACAUGCAAGUCGAACGGAAAGGCCCUGCUUUUGUGGGGUGCUCGAGUGGCGAACGGGUGAGUAACACGUGAGUAACCUGCCCUUGACUUUGGGAUAACUUCAGGAAACUGGGGCUAAUACCGGAUAGGAGCUCCUGCUGCAUGGUGGGGGUUGGAAAGUUUCGGCGGUUGGGGAUGGACUCGCGGCUUAUCAGCUUGUUGGUGGGGUAGUGGCUUACCAAGGCUUUGACGGGUAGCCGGCCUGAGAGGGUGACCGGCCACAUUGGGACUGAGAUACGGCCCCGACUCCUACGGGAGGGAGCAGUGGGGAAUAUUGCACAAUGGGCGGAAGCCUGAUGCAGCAACGCCGCGUGCGGGAUGACGGCCUUCGGGUUGUAAACCGCUUUCGCCUGUGACGAAGCGUGAGUGACGGUAAUGGGUAAAGAAGCACCGGCUAACUACGUG